Molecule: ribosomal RNA, 828 nt
Filed under: Triticum aestivum (bread wheat)
Lineage: Eukaryota; Viridiplantae; Streptophyta; Magnoliopsida; Poales; Poaceae
Description: partial small subunit ribosomal RNA
Source: RNAcentral
AUGGAGAGGAUCCAGAGCAGCAACAGCAACAGCGUGAGGAACCAUUUCGUCCUGGUUCACGGCCUCUGCCACGGGGCGUGGUGCUGGUACAAGGUGAUCGUGGCGCUCGAGGCCGCGGGGCACCGCGUCACGGCAGUCGACCUCGCCGCGUCCGGCGCCCACCCAGCGCGCAUCGACGAGGUGCACUCGUUCGAAGAGUACUCUCGGCCGCUGCUCGACGUGGUGGCCGCAGCUCCCGAGGGUGGCAGCGAGAGGCUGAUCCUUGUCGGGCACAGCCACGGCGGCCUCAGCAUCGCGCUAACGAUGGAGAGGUUCCCCGGCAAGGUCGCCACGGCCGUGUUCGUGGCAGCCGCGAUGCCGUGCGUUGGCAAGCACAUGGGCGUCACAACCGAGGAGUUCAUGAGAAGAGCAUCAUCGGAAGGACUGCUCAUGGACUGCGAGAUGCUGGCAAUCAACAACAACCAGGGUGUAGGUGUUGCAAUCAUAGUGGGCCCAGACUUCUUAGCUCACAAGGGUUACCAGCAAAGUCCACCUGAGGAUUUGGCCCUGGCAAAAAUGUUGGUGAGGCCUGGAAACCAAUUCGUGGAUGAUCCAGUGAUGAAGGACGCAGGGCUGCUCACCGAACGCAACUAUGGGUCGGUGAAGAAGCUAUACGUGGUUGCCAAGGCAGAUGUUUCCAGCACUGAGGAGAUGCAACGCUGGAUGGUGGUUCUGAGCCCUGGAACGGAAGUCGAGGAGAUUGCAGGAGCUGACCACGCCAUCAUGAGCUCCAAGCCCAAGGAGCUAUGUGAUGUCCUGGUCAAGAUAGCCAACAACUUCAAUAUUUAG